CGCGUAUGGAUGGGGAGUCUGGCGGACCCUUAUGACCUGCAAUCCGCUGCGAGCAGGAUCCGAAACCGGGUGUAAAAUUAAGAGUAUGCUUUUCCCGCAGUCGCAAGUCAGUCGGGUCUUGCGCAAUAGGACCCUGUGAACCCCGUCAGGUUCGGAAGAAAGCAGCGGUAAGCGGAUCGUUCUAUGUGCCGCAAGGGUGCCUGAUUGUGCUUGUAGCUGCGGGAAUUCAUAUAUUUUUAAUAUGUACAACCGGGUAUGCG
RNAcentral lists this signal recognition particle RNA (260 nucleotides) under Acidaminobacter hydrogenoformans DSM 2784. Its description in RNAcentral is "Bacterial large signal recognition particle RNA". It matches the Rfam family "Bacterial large signal recognition particle RNA". Rfam says of the family: The signal recognition particle (SRP) is a universally conserved ribonucleoprotein involved in the co-translational targeting of proteins to membranes. Archaeal SRP consists of a 7S RNA and homologues of the eukaryotic SRP19 and SRP54 proteins. Lineage: Bacteria; Bacillati; Bacillota; Clostridia; Peptostreptococcales; Acidaminobacteraceae. The record is from Rfam by way of RNAcentral.